AAGAGCUUGGGAGACACUCAGGAGGAAGCAGAGGGGAGAGGAAAUGCUACCUUUGGAGCCAACAACUAUGGAUGUGUGUCCAGAGGAAACCUGUGGAUUAAGCAAUGAUGCCUACAAAAAGACUAAUUUCCCAGUAAUCCAACUUAUUCCAAACACUCCACCCACAAGGCAGCAAGUGAGGGAAAAAAUAGAAUUCUGCUUGAAGAUGCUUUUCAGUCAACUCUCUCUAGCUCAUAAAUCAGUGCUUCUCCGAGUGUCAUGAACCCUGCACCCUCCUUGUCAAUGCUGAUUUCUGCACCCAUCUCCCAGUUACCAUCUGGAAUAGAAUCCAAUAGUGAUCCACCAAUGGACAGUUUUUGCUAUGAAGGAAGAAAGAGAGGACAGAUUUGAUGACAACAAAAGCAUCCCAGGAAUGUGUCCUGCAUGAGCUCUUCAGGCUGUGAAAUCUUGAAUUUCUACACCCAUCCUUGGCUGGCUUUUUCCAUGUGAGGCCAUAUAGAGUUGCUGCAGGUGAUGAGCAUCCUGAUGGGACUGAGCUCCACUAACAGGAGGACCACACGGUUUGCAGUAUCAGGGAUGAUAGAGUUUGAACCAGAUUAUAGAGCUCAUCAACUGAUCCACAUCUCAAAUGCUCCAUCUCUGGCAUAAGGUGUUUGUAAAUAAUAUGCAGGGCAUUUAUAAAUAUGAUGGGAUACUUAAUACCAAAAUUAACUAUAAGUUCAUUGCUGGGAUAGAAUAAAAUACAGAAAAUGAAUACAUAAAAUCAAUGUUACCAUAAAAUUAAAAUAUUUAAUAGCUUCAA
This is a long non-coding RNA of Symphalangus syndactylus (siamang), 802 nucleotides long. RefSeq lists it as uncharacterized. The record is from RefSeq and is a predicted model, not a curated record. NCBI's taxonomy places the organism in Eukaryota, Metazoa, Chordata, Mammalia, Primates, Hylobatidae.